CAUGGGCUUUUCGAGGAUAUUCGC
RNAcentral lists this microRNA (24 nucleotides) under Pristionchus pacificus. RNAcentral describes it as "ppc-miR-8317b-5p". Lineage: Eukaryota; Metazoa; Nematoda; Chromadorea; Rhabditida; Neodiplogasteridae. The record is from miRBase by way of RNAcentral.